This 1035-nucleotide ribosomal RNA is filed under the name Triticum aestivum (bread wheat). RNAcentral describes it as "partial small subunit ribosomal RNA". The record is from RNAcentral. Lineage: Eukaryota; Viridiplantae; Streptophyta; Magnoliopsida; Poales; Poaceae.
AUGAGCCGUUUGUGGUGCGCGCUCUCCCAGAUGCUCCGCCGCUGCAGAGCUCCGGCCGCCCCGCAGCGCCUGCUUCACUGGUGUUCUUCUGCCUCCCGCGUCACGCCUGCUCUACUCCGUCGCCCAGCGUCGACUAUGGCGCGGCAGUUUGGUCGGCAAUACCGUUGGUACGACGACCCUCGGAAGGUCGCCGCGGCGAUGGCGAUCGGCUUGAGCGCCGCGAUGAUGGCCACAUGCGACCGCGAGGUCGUGCCCUGCACCAACCGCUCCCACCUGGUCGUCCUAUCUCCCAAGGAGGAGCGCGACCUCGGCGAGUCCCUUUUCGCCGAGGAGAUGGCCAAGCACAGGCAUAAGACAGUGGACCCAUGCCAUCCGGACAGCGUCCGCGUCCGUCGCAUCGCCGAGAGAAUCAUCCACGCCGCCAACCGUGGCCUGGGCGUCUACAACAGCCGCGACGCCCCCAUGCUCCGCGUCACUCAGAAAGGAAACAAGCCGUGGGCACCGCAGCCACACACGAGGCACCUCCAUGGCCUCAACGGCAGCUGGGAGCUGGUCCUUGCGACACAUGGUAACGCCACUGCAGGGUCCGCGCCCGGUGGCAAGAUUAUAGUCUUCACCGGACUGCUCGAUUGGUAUAAGACCGACGGUGAGGUCGCCUUCGCUCUUGCACAUGAGGUUGGGCACCUCAUUGCAAGGCACCAGGCGGAUAUCAUGAGCAGGCUGUGGUUACCGGCAAUCCUACGUCGGAGGUUCUUACAUCGUAAGGAGAUAGAGGCAGAUCGCAUUGGAACCUUACUACUUGGUGCUGCUGGUUUCCAUCCACUCAAUGCCCUUGCAUUCAUUGGGAAGGCAACCGAGAUCGUAGGAGAUUAUACUCUACGGAGAGAGAUCCUGGAAGCUGAUCAUCCUCACCCCAAGAGAAGAUUGUGGCAUUUAUCAAACGCCAAUACAAUGGAGGAAGCGCUGGAACUGUACAGAGAAGCUACUGCCAUGGAUAAAGUAACUGAAAAAUAUUUUGUCAACCCUACCAUGUAA